Molecule: ribosomal RNA, 251 nt
Filed under: uncultured bacterium
Lineage: Bacteria
Description: partial 16S ribosomal RNA
Rfam family: Bacterial small subunit ribosomal RNA
Source: RNAcentral
UAAUUCCUACGGGACGCAGCAGUGAGGAAUACUGGUCAAUGGGCGCGAGCCUGAACCAGCCAAGUAGCGUGAAGGAUGACUGCCCUACGGGUUGUAAACUUCUUUUAUAAAGGAAUAAAGUGAGGCACGUGUGCCUUUUUGUAUGUACUUUAUGAAUAAGGAUCGGCUAACUCCGUGCCAGCAGCCGCGGUAAUACGGAGGAUCCGAGCGUUAUCCGGAUUUAUUGGGUUUAAUGGGCGUGUAGGCGGGAG